Molecule: microRNA, 22 nt
Filed under: Heliconius melpomene (postman butterfly)
Lineage: Eukaryota; Metazoa; Arthropoda; Insecta; Lepidoptera; Nymphalidae
Description: Hme-Mir-750_5p* (star (passenger))
Source: RNAcentral
AGUUGGACAGGGGAUCAUGACA